AGCAGCCGCGGUAAUUCCAGCUCCAAUAGCGUAUAUUAAAGUUGUUGCAGUUAAAAAGCUCGUAGUUGAAUUUCGGGAUCAAUUUAUUGGUCGUGCUAUUGUACGUACUGGUAUUAUUGAUUCCUACCUUCUGACGAACCAUGGUGUCAUUAAUUUGGUGUCAUGGGGAAUCAGGACUGUUACUUUGAAAAAAUUAGAGUGUUUAAAGCAGGCUCACGCUUGAAUACAUUAGCAUGGAAUAACGAAUAGGACGUUUGAUUCUAUUUUGUUGGUUUCUAGGAUCGACGUAAUGAUUAAUAGGGAUAGUUGGGGGCAUUAGUAUUCAAUUGUCAGAGGUGAAAUUCUUGGAUUUAUUGAAGACUAACUACUGCGAAAGCAUUUGUCCAAGGAUGUUUUCAUUAAUCAAGAACGAAAAGUUAGGGGAUCGAAGACGAUCAGAUACCGUCCGUAGUCUUAACCAUAAACUAAUGCCGACUGGGAUCGGAUGAUGUUAAUUUUUUAAUGACUCAUUCGGCGCCUUAC
This 522-nucleotide ribosomal RNA is filed under the name uncultured Glomus. RNAcentral's name for it is "SSU rRNA". It matches the Rfam family "Eukaryotic small subunit ribosomal RNA", at positions 569 to 1091 of the family's 1831-position model. The record is from RNAcentral. Lineage: Eukaryota; Fungi; Glomeromycota; Glomeromycetes; Glomerales; Glomeraceae.